CAGGACCCUCCUUAAGUGCGAAUGCACUAACAACCCUUCACCAAAUACUUCUGACUUUAAUAAGUGACUCAGGAUAGUCCCCAAGUACACCGCGUGGCACAGGACCCUCCUUAAGUGCGAAUGCACUAACAACCCUUCACCAAAUACUUCUGACUUUAAUAAGUGACUCAGGAUAGUCCCCAAGUACACCGCGUGGCACAGGACCCUCCUUAAGUGCGAAUGCACUAACAACCCUUCACCAAAUACUUCUGACUUUAAUAAGUGACUCAGGAUAGUCCCCAAGUACACCGCGUGGCACAGGACCCUCCUUAAGUGCGAAUGCACUAACAACCCUUCACCAAAUACUUCUGACUUUAAUAAGUGACUCAGGAUAGUCCCCAAGUACACCGCGUGGCACAGGACCCUCCUUAAGUGCGAAUGCACUAACAACCCUUCACCAAAUACUUCUGACUUUAAUAAGUGACUCAGGAUAGUCCCCAAGUACACCGCGUGGCACAGGACCCUCCUUAAGUGCGAAUGCACUAACAACCCUUCACCAAAUACUUCUGACUUUAAUAAGUGACUCAGGAUAGUCCCCAAGUACACCGCGUGGCACAGGACCCUCCUUAAGUGCGAAUGCACUAACAACCCUUCACCAAAUACUUCUGACUUUAA
This is a long non-coding RNA of Protopterus annectens (West African lungfish), 654 nucleotides long. RefSeq lists it as uncharacterized. NCBI's taxonomy places the organism in Eukaryota, Metazoa, Chordata, Ceratodontiformes, Protopteridae. The transcript is spliced from 7 exons. The record is from RefSeq and is a predicted model, not a curated record.